GACGAACGCUGGCGGCGUGCUUAACACAUGCAAGUCGAACGGAAAGGCCCUGCUUUUGUGGGGUGCUCGAGUGGCGAACGGGUGAGUAACACGUGAGUAACCUGCCCUUGACUUUGGGAUAACUUCAGGAAACUGGGGCUAAUACCGGAUAGGAGCUCCUGCUGCAUGGUGGGGGUUGGAAAGUUUCGGCGGUUGGGGAUGGACUCGCGGCUUAUCGGCUUGUUGGUGGGGUAGUGGCUUACCAAGGCUUUGACGGGUAGCCGGCCUGAGAGGGUGACCGGCCAUAUUGGGACUGAGAUACGGCCCAGACUCCUACGGGAGGCAGCAGUGGGGAAUAUUGCACAAUGGGCGGAAGCCUGAUGCAGCAACGCCGCGUGCGGGAUGACGGCCUUCGGGUUGUAAACCGCUUUCGCCUGUGACGAAGCGUGAGUGACGGUAAUGGGUAAAGAAGCACCGGCUAACUACGUG
RNAcentral lists this ribosomal RNA (468 nucleotides) under uncultured bacterium. RNAcentral's name for it is "partial 16S ribosomal RNA". It matches the Rfam family "Bacterial small subunit ribosomal RNA", at positions 28 to 507 of the family's 1533-position model. The record is from RNAcentral.